CCUACGGGAGGCAGCAGUGGGGAAUAUUGGACAAUGGGCAAAAGCCUGAUCCAGCCAUGCCGCGUGUGUGAAGAAGGCCUUCGGGUUGUAAAGCACUUUCAGUGGGGAAGAAAGCCUUGGGGCUAAUACCCUCGAGGAAGGACAUCACCCACAGAAGAAGCACCGGCUAACUCCGUGCCAGCAGCCGCGGUAAUACGGAGGGUGCGAGCGUUAAUCGGAAUUACUGGGCGUAAAGCGCGCGUAGGCGGUCUGAUAAGCCGGUUGUGAAAGCCCCGGGCUCAACCUGGGAACGGCAUCCGGAACUGUCAGGCUAGAGUGCAGGAGAGGAAGGUAGAAUUCCCGGUGUAGCGGUGAAAUGCGUAGAGAUCGGGAGGAAUACCAGUGGCGAAGGCGGCCUUCUGGACUGACACUGACGCUGAGGUGCGAAAGCGUGGGUAGCAAACAGGAUUAGAUACCCGGGUAGUC
This 465-nucleotide ribosomal RNA is filed under the name Vreelandella stevensii. RNAcentral describes it as "partial 16S ribosomal RNA". It matches the Rfam family "Bacterial small subunit ribosomal RNA", at positions 338 to 795 of the family's 1533-position model. Lineage: Bacteria; Pseudomonadati; Pseudomonadota; Gammaproteobacteria; Oceanospirillales; Halomonadaceae. The record is from RNAcentral.